CAGAAGAACGGGCGGGGCGAAAGUUAGGUGGUUUGAGAGUUGUUAAUUCAUACUGGAUUAACGAGGUAAUUCUCUAUUGAGCGUAGAAGAUAUUAAAUCCUUGCAUAUCGUUUUUUGACUGUGCCUGAAAUUAUAAUAGGAUUCUACCUACAAAUACUAUGAGGUGAUUUUGGUUGAUGUUGCCCAUAAUGCGGUUCGCAAUGACCCGAGAAUCAACUGGAUCUGCAAUCCAGUCCACAAACACAGGGAGCUCAGAGGACUCACAUCAGCUGGUAAGAAGUACAGGGGUCUUCGAGGAAAAGGGCACUUGCACCACAAAGCCAGGCCUUCCCGCCGAGCAACCUGGAAGAGGAACAACACUCUCUCCCUGCGUCGAUAUCGAUGAUUUUGGUAUUACUUUUCUCUGUUUUGGUAUUUUUGCUAUGAGCAUUCUGUUCGUGGUUGGAGAAUGUAGUGGAAGUUACUUCCAUCCAAAAAGUUUUGAACUUCGUAAUUUACAUAGAGAAUUGUGAGGAUGUUUACAAACUAAACUAAUUAGCAACUUUUGUCUGGAUUGAAAUCAAUUUGUCCUUUUUUCUCUCGAUACAACGAUAGGUUUGUUUAUGCGUUUAGGAAAACUUAUGGAGUUAUAUCUAGGACAUUUUCAUUUAGGAAGUACUUGGGUUACGGUGGUCUUCAGCUAGUCCAAAAAUGUAUCAAAAGUAGUUUUGUAAUUAUUUUCAAAAUUAACCGAUAUUUUACCUAUUUUUAAAAAUGUCUGGUUAAAAAAAAUCAAGCAAUAACUGAAAAUGAAAUUGGCUUUAAUAAUUUAAAUAAACAAAAACAAAGCUUUUAAGAAUUUUAUUUGUUUUUGGAAAUGUGAAAAGUUACCAAAAUCUUGUUAAAAAAAAUAAAUUGGUUAAGAAUUUAAGUUUUGUUUUAAUUUGAGUUUUUUAAAAAUAAAUGUACAAAAAUUGUAGCUUGAAUGAAGUUGGGGCUAUUAAAAAUAUAAUAAAGUGACAAAAUAUUUACAUUGUAGAAUAGUUUUGAAAACGAAUAUUUACAAAAUAUUUACAUUGUAGAAUAGUUUUGAAAACGAAUAUUUACAAAAUAUUUACAUUGUACAAAAAGCUCAUCUAAACGAGUCUCCUACGCAACUCAAAGUGUAGACAAAGAUACAACUUAUACAUGAUCUUGUUGAUUACCAUAGAUAUAAACACUAAAUGAUGGCGAAAAAAUUAGAUUUAAAUAAUCGCAUAGAGAGUACAUUUAACGAUCGUUGCAUAUAACGAUCGUUGCAUAGAUACGUAUAAUCGUGUAUGUAAGUAUAAACGAUCAUUUACACAAGCAAAACUCGCUCAUUAUUACAAACAUAAGAAUUACAAAAAUAACAUCGAAAUCAAAGCACUACAAAAAGGAGAAGACAUUUGUUCAGACUUUUCCUCUUCUUUAUGCCCUUCGUGUUCUUUACAUCAUUUUUGUCGUACAUCUUCUUUAUCAAUCAUUUAUUUCCUCGUGCCUUCUUCAACAAAACUUUUGAAAUUCUUCUUAGUCUUGUUCUUUACCUUCCAUUCUCAUCAAUCUUCGAAAAUAUUUUUUCGGCAUUCUGGUCGUUGCUCAAUAUUUUGGUUCCACAACCAAAUCUAUGUCCAUUUAUCUCAAUCUAUUUCCAUCAUCUAUCACAAUCUAUCUCCCAUACAAAGAGGUUUGAAUGUAUAUUCGUUAUAUUUAAUUGAAUAAUCAUUCUUGUUCAAUGUAUAACACCUCGGCGCAAAGAGCGACACCUUGUUGGAAAGAAAAAAAAUGUGAGAAAACCAGAGUUGGUUUAUUUUAUGCAAAGCAAAGUGUAAUUUGUACUUUUAUAAGCAUUAAGUUAAUAAACAGAAGGAGUUUAAGCUAUUCGCUGUAAAGGUGGUGAAAGUCUCUAAGGCUCAAAUGGAAGAGCUUCACGAAGAGACGAGAGAAAUAGUUGUUCUGCUUACUGUGUGUUUAAUGUGUUAUCUCGCGAAAAGGUAUGCGUUGAAUGUCUAGGUGACACGUCCUCCAUUUGGUCUCAUGGCAUGAAAUUUGGGACGGGUCAUGACAACUCACUAAAUUUACUUCAAACCAUAUCGAAAGUUUAUCAAAAUUGCCUUGACAACACAUUAACGACUUUGUAAAUUCUAAUCUAGUACCUAAAACCAUUUUCUGUUUCGAGCUUAUGGAGGUAACACCCAAGCAAACUGCAAAGUUAAUGAAAGUCCAUUUUGACCUUUCAACUUUAUGACCUGAGUAUCAUAUGUAAUUUCAUUUUAAUGCUUACACUUAAUAGGCAUUCAAGAACUCUAAAAAAACUCAACAAAAUUACUUCAAAACUUACCAAGUGCUUGGCAAAGUAACCUUAACUUCAAUAAACAAUCUUUUGAUGGUCUUCAACUAUCGAAUCCUAGCAUCUAAAAACUAUGAGUUGUUUAAUAAUAACAACGAAACUCAAUGGGCACGGAAGAACUACUCGAAAAAGCUUAGAAUCUUACCCAAUAUAUGCCAAAACGCCCAACUUCGAGCCAUCAACGGGCUGGACAAAGGUUCAAAUCUUCCAAGAAUCCAAAACUAACAUCAAAAUGUAAUGCUUAUUGAUUUUUCUCCAAACACAUAAUUGAUAUUCAAAACUUUUCAUUGAAAGCCCAAAAACUCACCAAGAUUUUGACAAAUCAAACUCCAAACAUUGGACAGCGCUUCAACAACUCUAGAAUUGGCCAAAACAUGCGUCUGAUGAGUACCAACACUCACAGGGGUGGAUCCAUAGUGACAACGAAGCGGAAUCAUGCUGAUUAUAGACUAGGUACGCAUGGAACAACCAAAUCUUGUUAAACAAGGCUCAAAAUAUAUUUACCCCUCAAUUCCAACACAAAAGAAAGUGGACAACUCAAGUCGAACUUGUUUAGGGUGUUGGUCAUUAUAGCUUGACAAACAUCAAUAGAAUUGAAAGCAAACCAAAGGAAAAUUAGCUACUUACCCACAUGUGACAUCAAAUGAACAGUGGCUGAUUGAAAGGCGAUGAGCAGACACAAUGGAUACAAUAGUAGAGCUCACGAAAAACAUUACCAAACGGUCUCUAAGUUUCCACAUGCAACACCUCCGCUUCUUAAAAAAAUGGAAACAAAAACAGAAAACAUGGAACGAAAACAUUACAAAAUGCGCUCUAAGCUUCCAUGUGCACCACUAUGAGUAAAAACAGGCAUAAUAACAAGAGUUUAGGUGACUAAGUUAUUUUGGAACUAGUAUAAAUAGAGAUCUUCAGCCAAAUUAUGGAGUAUUGUUACUCUGACAAUCAAAAUAGAAAAUUAAAGUGUUGGAGUGUUACCAAAAUAGCUACGCCCGAAGAAGAAGAAGAGGAGGAGAAGCAACUAAAAUUUGAGUCACCAAAUGUUGUGAGUGUUUUUCUUGAAAGUGAUUUGAUGUUAAAAGCUUUCUUAUAAAGUUUCUAUUGAUUUUAAAUGAUGAAUUCAAUAUGAAUAUUUCUAAAGAGAUUCUUAUGAAAAGCAUAUAUUAUGUUCUUAAUGUAUAUUUGUGUAAAUUAAAUGAUUACGAAAUAGUGUUCAAACCACUUGUUUCUUCCCAUAAAUGAGUUGACUAUUAUGUGCACAUAAAAAGUAAAGACAACCACGUAGAAAAUGAUUGCAUGGUAUAGUGAAGUUGACCAAUGUAGAAAAGUAUUGCAUUGUGUUUAGUGGCUUGAGCAACAGAAUGAAUCAGGAUAUUCCUAGAUGUUGUUGAUGAAAAUGACAUCUCACUAGUCUAAACACGAGAUGACGAGUCUUCGUGUUGGGAAUGAUUCAUGUUCUUGGCGAAAAGAUUGUGUGAGACUAAUGUGUUUUAUGAUGUUUAUGUGAAAUGUGUGUGUGUUACGUGAAUUGACAUGUGUGUGAUUUGAUUUGUUUUCUAAAUUGAUGUUUAUGAAUGAUAUUUCAUAGAAAAGUUCUCUUAAAACCUUACGAGUCUUUUCACUUAUAUUUUAAAGUUUUAACCUCACAAGUCUUUUCACUUAUGUUUUAAAGUUUUCAUUUACAGGCUUUAGGCGUUAAGUCCAAAUAAGAAAAGGGUAAAAAGCUGCUAGGUGAGAUGAGCUGCAGAUGUUUUAUUAUUAAGUUUAAGAGUUGUAUUAUGUAAUAUGUAUUAAGCUGUGUAGAACGCCUUAUUUUUUGUUAAGUUGUUUAUCGCCUAAAGUACGAGUUGUAGUUUGAGAAAGAAGUGUAGGUGAUUAAGCAAAGCUUAAGUACCUUAACCCAAGUGUUUUGACAUCAAAUGUAUCAAAAUACUCAAAAUCAUAUCGCUUCUCCCAUAGUGAAUCAAGUUGCAUGCAUGGCACGAUGUGACAUUUCUCCUUUUCAUAUUAUUAAUUUCUUCGUAUAAUUAAUUUAGUUUUUUCAUACUCUCACUUCCUAUUAUAUGCGAUUUAUUCUUUCUUACAUUUUUUUUCAUCUAAGCUAAUAUAAAAAUUAGCAUUACCUUAAACGGUGUUUGGAGAAAAAAAACUUACAAUGAAGUAAAUAAUUCUCAUAUAGUUCAUCUGAUUUCGUUAAUGGAGGAAGGAAAAAGAAAAUUUUGAUCUAUAGUAAGUCUAAUAUUUAUCUAAGAUUAAAAAAAUCAUCCAAAAUCCGACGAACUAUGCAAUAAAAUGUAAAUAUUAGCAUUACCCUUGGGUUGAUUCAAGAAGAAAAGAAAUGUUAGAAAAGGAAAGGUCAAAUCAAAUGAACUUUCACAAAAAUGUAAUUUUGGGAUAUAAACUUCCCUUGGUUUUCUCCUUACGAAUUAGUGACAGCCAAAUGACUUUCCUUUAUACAUGAAAGUGUAAAAGUAAUUAUAUUAUUGGUAAAAAUAUAAUUAUUAUGAAAAUAUGUUUAUUUAUUUUUAUAUAUAAUAAUAAUUAUUGUAUUAUUAUAAUUAACAAUGGCCCUCUUUCUGCAUAUGAUAAUCAAUCUCACCUUCUUCCUCCACGUUUAACCUAGCCGCACAGGAACCUCGUCACCGCCAUCAGUCGAGUCCGCUGCUCACCGUCCAUCGAUCUCCGGUCGCAGCCGUUCCGUCCACGCUCAUCGUAGUAGACAAAGCGUCUCCAUUCCAAUGGGUAUGUUCCUGAGCUUUAGAUUGUUUAGGGAGGAGGUUAGAUUAGAUUGUAAAUGUUUUUGUUUGAUGUAAUCAAAAUAGUUUAUUUUCUCAUUGUGAUUUUUUUAGAUUCUUUGUGGUAUUUGGAAUAAUGGGGUCUUUUCUUUUAACACUUUGAACGGGUAUAGGUGUUUUUUUUUUUUUUUUUUUUUUGUAUUUUGAUACUUCCUACGUUUAGAUUGAUUAUAGAAUAGAUUGGAUUAGAUUAUUAUUUGUUUUCGAUUGACGAAUUGGAAAAGCUUCUUCUAUUUUUCUAGAACUUAAGGAUACAGUUUUACAACCUAUAGAACAGAUCCUGUUCAAGUAAGGUCGUCUAUUUUUCUCAUUGUUGUCUGUUAUUUUUUGAUGAAAUCGAUAUAACUUGUCAAGUAAGCUUUUCUAUAAAAGAAAUUAAGUCUUUUGCUUCAUUUAGUUUCAAUGUUACAAGUUUUGUUUCAAUUUGGUUCGUGCUAAAACUUUCAAUUUAGUCAUUCUGCCAGUUCACACAAUUUCCUUUACUAUUUUUAUGAAAAUAAGUGUACUAUCUUUAUCUUGGUCUCAUGGAUCCUCUAGAACAUUGGACUAUUCUUGCCUUUUCAUUUCAUUUUGCAGUGAAUUAUAAGGAGAUUUUUUAGGUUUAGAAUCACAUUUUUUGCUUUUUGUUACUUUUCAUUUUCAAAAUCUUUCAGUUUAGAUUGUUUGUGCGGGAGCCUAGAUGAGAUUGUUGCAUGUUUAUUAUUGAUGAAAUUGUAAUAGUUUCUUCUUUUAACGUUUCUUUUCCUGGAUUCCCACCAUUUGUAUUUGAAAAAAUAGGGGCGUACAAGUACGUGUCAGAGCUAUGGAGGAAGAAACAGUCCGAUGUGAUGAGGUUUCUACAGAGGGUGAGAUGCUGGGAAUAUCGACAACAUCCAUCAAUUGUUCGUGUCAAUCAUCCCACUCGCCCAGAUAAAGCUCGACGUCUUGGUUACAAGGCCAAGCAGGUAAGAAAAUAUGCAAAGAUUUCCUUAUCAAGUGUUUUACAUCUAAGCUUUCCUGAGUCUUUUCCCUUGGGUUAUUCGGUUAGCAUAUGUUCGAUUUUUUCCCCGGUGUAGUGUGGAUAUCAUUGGCUUCAGGCACAACAAUGAAUUCAACGUUUUUGUUGCAGGGGUAUGUGGUUUACAGGGUCCGAGUGCGACGUGGUGGUAGGAAGAGGCCUGUUCCGAAGGGUAUUGUGUAUGGAAAACCAACCAACCAGGGUGUAACCCAGUUGAAGUUCCAGCGCAGCAAGCGAUCAGUUGCAGAAGAACGGGCGGGGCGAAAGUUAGGUGGUUUGAGAGUUGUUAAUUCAUACUGGAUUAACGAGGUAAUUCUCUAUUGAGCGUAGAAGAUAUUAAAUCCUUGCAUAUCAUUUUUUGACUGUGCCUGAAAUUAUAAUAGGAUUCUACCUACAAAUACUAUGAGGUGAUUUUGGUUGAUGUUGCCCAUAAUGCGGUUCGCAAUGACCCGAGAAUCAACUGGAUCUGCAAUCCAGUCCACAAACACAGGGAGCUCAGAGGACUCACAUCAGCUGGUAAGAAGUACAGGGGUCUUCGAGGAAAAGGGCACUUGCACCACAAAGCCAGGCCUUCCCGCCGAGCAACCUGGAAGAGGAACAACACUCUCUCCCUGCGUCGAUAUCGAUGAUUUUGGUAUUACUUUUCUCUGUUUUGGUAUUUUUGCUAUGAGCAUUCUGUUCGUGGUUGGAGAAUGUAGUGGAAGUUACUUCAAUCCAAAAAGUUUUGAACUUCAUAAUUUACAUAGAGAAUUGUGAGGAUGUUUCCAAACUAAACUAAUUAGCAACUUCUGUCUUUAUUGAAAUCAAUUUGUCUUUUUUUCUCUCGAUGCAAUGUGUUUGUUCGAUAGGUUUGGAUGGUUGAAACAGUAUCUGUUAGUUUUAUUUGUUUGUUUAUGCGUUUAGGAAAACUUGUGGAGAUGUAUUUAAAACAUUUUCAUUUUCAUAGAGGAAGUACUUUGGUUUCGGAUGUCUUCAGUCCAAAAAUGUAUGACAUUUAGUUUUGUAAUUAUUUUCAAAAUUAAGCAAUAUGUUACAUAUUUUUAAACAUGUCUGGUUUAAAAAAACCAAGCAAAAACUGAAAAUGAAAUUGGCAUUAUAGAUGUAUAGAUGUUCAUUGUCUGAAUGAGGUGUAGCUUAGGGUUUAGGUUAGGUAUGUUAGUGGUUAUCUAAUGUCACAUCUUACUUGUCAAAUUGUCAUCCUAUUUGCUAAAUUUGUUCUACAAGUAGUGGUAUUUGGUAGAGUUAUGAUGUACCCAAAGUGGAGAAUGGAGAAAAUUCAAUUUUCUAAUUUUCUUUAUUGGGAUUUUUUUUUAAAAAUAAUGUAAAGUUUGAAACAUAUUUCAAAAAUAUGGUAGAUGCAAAACUAUUUUCAAAAAUAGGUGUUUUGAGGUGAAGUGUACAGGGUACAUGACUUCCAUGCAGUGGACUCCACAUACUCUAUUUUUUCCUUAUUUUUAUAUUUAUACUAUACUGGGUUCCACACUUUUUAAUUUUCUCAUUAUUUAUAUACGUGGGUCCCACACACUUCACUUUUUCUCAUUAUUUAUAUAUACAUACUCACAUAUAAUAUAAUAUAUAUAUUAUACAUUCAAAUUCUAAAAAUAUCUUUCUUUAUUAAAUUAAUUUAUUUUUUUUUAUUUUUUUCUUUAUAUAUAUUUAAAUAUCACAAUCUUCAAUCUUCAAUUUUUUUUAUUAAAUUCAUUUUUCUAAUUUAAUUUAAUUCUUUCUUAAUCAAAAUUAUACAUAUAUUUUUUUCCAAUUUUCAAUUUUUUAAAAAAAAUCUCAUUUAUUAACAAAAACAUGUUAUUAAAAAUAUAUUAAACAAAUUAAAAGAGUAAUAAUAAUAAUUGAGAUAAGUUAAAAUUACUAAAAAAAAUAAUAAUAAUAACACUUGAAGCCACACACAUUGAUAAUUGAAUAAAAAGAAAUUCAUGUUUAUGGUAAAAGGAAAAAAACAAGAAUUGGUUCGAUUACAAAUUAAAUUUAAAAACUUAAUGGAUAAUUUUGAAUUGCAAAUUUAUUGUUAUUAUUAUUUUUAGAGUACGUUUCAACUUCUUUCAAUUACUAUUAUUAUUUUUAUUUGUUUAAUGUAUUUUUUAAUAACAUAUUUGGUUAAUAUAUGUGUUUUUUUAAACAGAAAAUUAGAAAAAGAUAUAUAUAAUUUUGGUUAAGAAAUAAUUAAAUUAAAUUAGAAAAGAUGAAUUAAUAAGAAAAUUUGAAGAUUGAGAUAUUAAAUAAAUAAAUUUAUAAAUAUAUAUAUAUAUAUAUAUAUAUAUAUAUAUAAAUUAUUAUUAUUACUCUUUUAAUUUGUUUAAUAUAUUUUUAAUAACAUGUUUUGUUAAUAUAUGAGAUUUUUUUUUAAAAAAAUUGAAAAUUGGAAAAAAAAUAUAUGUAUAAUUUUGAUUAAGAAAGAAUUAAAUUAAAUUAGAAAAAUGAAUUUAAUAAAAAAAAUUGAAGAUUGAAGAUUGUGAUAUUUAAAUAUAUAUAAAGAAAAAAAUAAAAAAAUAAAUUAAUUUAAUAAAGAAAGAUAUUUUUAGAAUUUGAAUGUAUAAUAUAUAUAUUAUAUUAUAUGUGAGUAUGUAUAUAUAAAUAAUGAGAAAAAGUGAAGUGUGUGGGACCCACGUAUAUAAAUAAUGAGAAAAUUAAAAAAUGUGGGGUCCAGUGUAGUAUAAAUAUAAAAAUAAGGAAAAAAUAGAGUAUGUGGGGUCCACCGCAUGGAAGUCGUGUACCCCGUACACGACUUCACCUCAAAACACCUAUUUUUGAAAAUAGUUUUGCAUCUACCCUAUUUUUGAAAUAUGUUUCAAAUUUUACAUUAUUUUAAAAAAAAAUCCUCUUUAUUGUUUAUUUAUAUAUUAUUAUUUUAAUAUUUUCUCGAUUUUCGUAUUCCAAUUGUGUCUCAUUUUCACAACAUGCUAUUAGCACGAGCUUCGGUCGUCUCUUCCAGUCGUUCUUACGUUAUGUCAAUUUUCUCCUACACGUUAUAAUUAAUAAAAAUAAAUAUUACUUUGUAUGUUUGGUAUAGAUUAAAUUUAUAUUAUUUGAUUCUAAUAGGAAAAGUUUGAUACAUUAAAAUAUCAUUAAGAAUAUGAUCAUUGAAAACAAUUAUCUUAUAUUUCGGAUAUGCUCUUGCAGUAGCAAUACCGAGAAAAAUAUUUUGAAGAAUAUUUUCUUAAUUUCUUCUCAUGCUAAAAUGAGAUAACGAGUUACUGGUUGAAAAAUAAUAAACAUCAGUCGACUAAAGAAACAAAAUUUUCCUCGAGUGAGUGUUGUAAAUUUGACAAUUGUUAUAAGAAGUAAUUAUUUUACGUGGUUGAUCUUUAUAAUCAUCCAAAUCUUAAAAGAACCACAUGAAAUGAUCAUAAAAAGAAAAAGAAAAAAACGUGAAAAUAGAUUUUGCAUAUCAAAUUGAUAAUAUAUUUGGCUGAACCUGUAAGACAAAUUUGGAUGGGGUAAAAUUUUGAAUCUUCUAAAGAUAUUGAUAUAUUUGAUUAAAAAAAUUGUUUUAUUUAUGAAUUAAUGAUUAAUGUUUUUUUCCCCUCAUUUUAAUAUAUAUUCUAAGUUUUCUUCGUAUUGUAAUUAUUUUGUUUAAUGAAGAAGUAUGAAUAAUUUUCUUGUGCUCAAUAACUUAAAAUUGAGCAAUGAAGUUAUAUCUUUGACAAACAUUGCAACGCACACAAUACUAACAAGUAAAAAAUAUUUUUUUCAGCUGAAAGCAAAAGUCAAUACAAUAUCAGAUUUGUUCUGCAAAUCUGUUGAUGGUUUUGGAAAAGCAAAUAUUGUUUUUUUCUAGAGGAACAAAAGUUGUAAUUGAUAAUACAUUGUUCUCUAGUCAAUCAAAGAGAAAUCUAUUGAGUUUUAAUGAUAUAUGUUGCAAUGGUUAUAAUAUUGACACUAACAGAAAGAAUGAGAUAGAAUAUCUUAAUAUUAUACCUACUGUCUCAAAUGAAAUAUGUAUAUUAGAAAAGUUGUCUGCUUUAUCUUCUGGAUUAUAUUAUACUCAUAUAAGACUAAUUAAAACAUAUUCAACAAUGAACUUAAAAUUCAUGAAUCCAGACAUAUUUGCAAUUUGACACAAUCAAUUGGGUCAUCUAGGAUCCAUAAUGAUGAGAAGAAUUAUUAAAAAUCCACAUGGACAUCCAUUGAAGAACCUACUGAAUUAUCAUGUGAUGCUUGCUUUCAAGGAAAAUUAAUAAUUAGAUCAUCACCAACUAUAUAAAGUGGGAAUCGAAUCAUCUACAUUUUUUGAAUGAAUUCAUGCUUAUAUUUGUGGAUCGAUUAAACCACCAAGUGAACAAUUUAAGUAUUGUGAUGGUCUUAAUAGACACAUCCAACAGAUGGUCGCAUAUGUGUUUAUUAUCAAGUCGAAAUCUUGCAUUUGCAAAAUUAUUUGCUUAAAUAUUUGAGUUAAGAGCACAAUUUUUUCAUUAUACAAUUAAGAAUAUUCAACUUAAUAAUGCACGAAUUUACAUCCCAAGCAUUUGAUAAUUAUUGUGUGUCUAUUGGAAUCAACGUCGAAUAUCCUGUAGCUCAUGUUCAUACACAAAAUGGUUUAAUAGAAUCAUUUAUAAAACGUUUGCAAUUAAUUGCUAGACUAUUACUUAUUAGAGCAAAACUUUCUACAUUUGUAUGAAGACGUGUUAUUUUGCAUGUUGCAUCACUUGUGCGUAUUAAGCCAACAACUUAUCACAAAUACUCGCCAUUACAAUCAGUAUAUAGUUAUGAGCCAAAUAUUUCUCAUUUGAGAAGUUUUGGAGGUGCAAUAUAUGUUUCAAUUGCUUAACCACAACAUACUAAGAUGAGUCCUCUAAGGAGGCUAGAAAUAUAGGUUGGUUUUGAUUCCUCAUCAAUUAUUAAAUAUAUUGAAUCCCUGACAAAUGGCCUGUUUACUGCACGAUUUGUUGAUUAUCAUUUUAAUGAGAGAAAAUUUUCCAAUAGGAGGAUGAAUUAAGAACUUGGAAAAAGAAAUUACAUAGAAUAUAUCAUUAUUGUCUCAUUUAGAUCAUCGUACAGAUCAAUGUGAACUUGAAGUUAAAAAAUAAUUAAUUUGCAAAAUAUUGCAAAUCAGUCACUAAAAGAAUUUUCGUCUUUGCUAAUGCAGAAGAACGUGGGCAAAGCUUCUGUCGACGUAUCUUUUUGCGUGGACGCGUUGCAUGACCGAAAUACAGUUGUCUUUUCCUUUACCCACAUUUUUUAUGUGGCGUCGGCAGAAAUGGUCAUGCAAAUUAAAAUCAUGGGAAAAAAAGAUAUUUCUAGCCAUGAAAAAAACAUGGCAGAAAGGUAUUUUUGUCCACGAUCAUCAUCGCGUUGGCAAAAAUAUAUUUUAUGGCCACGAAAAAAACAUCGGUCGUAGAAAGGUAUUUUUACCCACGAUCAUCAUCACGUCGAAAAAAAAUGAACUUUAUGGCCACGUUUGUUUCGUGGGUAGAAACUGUUCUUGCCAACGAAAAGAUUUUUGUCAACAAAAACAAAAUUUCUCCCAACACUAAAUUUGUCGGUAAAUAAUAUUUGUUUCUUUUUCUUCGACGCACCGAACGUUGCUAAAGCUUUCUAAUUGCCAACAUAUUUCUAGCCACACACAAAGAAUGUGUGGCAAAAACGAUUUUAAUUUUUUUCACAUUUAUUAUUAAUAUUGUAUGUUUCUAAAUUAAAUUCAAAUAUAGAAUGAAUUUUCUAUCUACAGCAAAAUACAAUGAACACUGUAAUGAAAAAUUAAAAAUAAAAAUAUUUUCAACCAUUAAUAUUUUGUCAAAAUAUGACAAAUCAUAAUUCAAUAAUUUGUCAAAAUAUGACCAACAAUAAUUCUACAGUGUGUCAAGGUUCAUGAGUUAAAAUAAAUUUCACUUUGGAUUACCAAAAUGGCAAAAAAAAUCUUAAAUAAACAAAAAAAAAAAGGUUAACUCAGUCUAUAAAGUCUUCAAAAAGAUAGUCAUUCCCUUCUCUUUCAAACUAUAUAAAUCUGAAAAAGGUAUAUUAAAAUGAAUAAGUUCUAAGUGCAACUUUGAAAUUAAAGUCUAACAAAAAAUGUGCGAAGUGUCUUAACUCUCAAAGUCGACCUACAAAACAAGUUUCAAAUACCUAAGUUUACUAGGAUUUUUUUUCUAGUAAGAUUUUAACGAGACAUAUUUCAUAUAUGUAAUGGAUAUAUAGAUGUCUAUUAUCUCAUCAUGCCAUGUGUCUUAUGAGUGUAGAUACUUAGUGUACACCAUGUAUCAAACAAAUAUGCUAUCUUAGUGGCCAUCUAAUGUCACAUCCUACUUGUCAAAUUGCCUAUAAAUUGUGGCAUUUGGUGGAGUUGUAAGUUGUACCCACAUGUUGGAGAGAAUUCCGUUGAAAGAGGGAGAAAGUGGAGAAAAUAAAUUUUCUAUUUUUCGUAAUUUUGUUAAUUUCUUAAUUUAUUUAUGUAUUAUAUUUUAAUAUUUUCUCAAUUUUCAUAUUCCGGUUGUGCCAUGUUUUCACAACGUAUACUUCGUAUUUUAAUUUUAAUUUCAUUUAUAUGUAGAUCUAUAUAUUCUAUAUAUUUGGUCAUAUAUAUAUAUAUAUAUAUAUAUAUUUGAUAUUGAAUUGUAAAUUUCACAAACUUUGUCACAUACAAAUGUAUGUGAUUUAUGCUAUUCAUAUUUUUAAAAUUUUAUUUUAUAAGAAACAUGUAUAUUCAUAUAACAAAAGAGAACAACUUAAGGACAAAGGAUAAGAGAGCCCAAAAAUGAUGACCUUCCAAUUGUUGAAUAUCAUAGAAAGACUAUAAUUACAAAAGUAUUUGGUGUAAUUGGUAAUCCACCAAGAAGUUGUGUGUUGCAACAUAGUCUAAAAGAAUCAAAAUAAUUUUAGCUAUCUUAAAAAAAUUAUACUAUUCAUUUCUUUCCAAAUGCACCACGAAAAGGACUGAGUAGCACAUCUCCAUAAGAUGUUUCCUUUCGAACUAUAACCUCUAAUGUUGAACACUUCAAUCAACCAACUAUCAACCUUGCUAGGAAGACAAAACUUCAAAUAAAAAAUUCUAAACAAAGUGUUCCAAGCUUUUUUAGUAAAGAGACGGUACAAAGAUAAGUGGUCUAGAGUCUCUUAUUCUUUGAAUCAAAGGAACAACAAUGGAUGUGGAUCUCUUAGUUAAAUUGUGAAAAAUAUACUUCUUAGUAAAGCUGCCAUUAACAUUAGGAGUUCAUUUAAAAUUGUCGCCACCAUUUGAGGAGGUCUAAGAAUUAAGAAUUUUUAGAAUUGAGGCCACAUUGUCAAGCUCGUUAUCGAACAUAUUUCUUCUAAGGUCCAAGUUCCAUGAAUGAGUAACAAUACACCAAUAAACAUCCUUAUUCAAAGACAAUGAUAACAAAUCAGAAAAUUUCUCUGCAAAUGGCUCCACACCACACCAAUUGUCCUUCCAAUAUGAUCUUGGUUCCUUUUCCCAACACAAAAGCUGAGAAUUUAAAGGUCUCUUUGUGCUUCAAAAUAUUAGCUCAUAAUUUGUAAGACUUUCCUAUGUUCAGAUUUUUAGUAGACCACACAUUCUUCUCUAAGUCGUAAAUGACCACAAUUAAGUGCCUCCAAAAUGAUUGUUUGAUCCAUGUACCUUUGACUUGAUUACGAUUUAGUCUCUGCUAUAAAAGUUAUCGUUGAUAUUUAACAAAAUUUGAGGUGGAUGUUAUCUAGAUCCAUGUCUACAACUUUUUGCCUUGGUUUAGGUGUUGGUUCAAAAUUGAACCAUUCAAAUCAAGAAAAUAAAACAACAAAUUAGGAUAAAUCAAGAGAUAAGUUUCGGGGGUUGUUUGGCCAAUGAGUUUUGACACUUGGAAUAAAAUUUCAUGGGAUUAAGAAACUAAACCCAUGUUUGGGCACUUGGAAUAAACUUUUGAGGAUUAAAAAACUAAACAUAUAAGUUUGGAAUAUGUUAUUAUUUUAAAUUUUAUUGAAUGUCAUAUGUUUUAGAAAAUUUUUCACUUCAACCUCUUAUCAAUGAUCAUUGAUGACAUUUGACAACAUAGGUUAGCCAACUUCAUGAUCAACCAUGAAGCCUGAUCAUGAUUGAUCAACGGUCACGACCACUUGUCGCCUUAACCAUAGGCUCUGGAUCAUCUUGAUUGUCUAGACUAUUGAUCAUCGAUUGUCGGUGACUAAUCAUCUUGAUUGUUGGUGACCUACAAUUUUAGACGUUACUGUCAUCAUCAAGUGCACAUCUUGAUUGACGACGAUCAAUUGUUAUCGUUAAUUAUCAAUGUUGUGCCUAUUAACAAAUGAUCGUAGUGAUGGUAAUGCCAAUAGCCAUGACCCUUGGCGAUCAAUUGUCAUGAUGGUUGGCGACCAACCAAUCGUCUUAAACACAUUGGCGACCGUUGACCGUCUUCACCAAGACUUUCUACACCAUUUCCCAUGGCUUUGAAUAGUAAACACUAUUCAAGCCCAUUAAUUACUUUUUUAAAAAAAAAAUUAUUCUUUUUCUAAUUCAAUCUAGAAAUUUUGUGGGCCAACUUUAAAUACAACCCCUGCCGACCAUUGCGUGUCAUUUCUGACAACUUCGCUGGCGAACUUCCGCCUACCAACUUUGACAGCCACCAAAAACCUUGAAAAAUUCAUAAAAAUAAAAAAUUAUGAAUCAUUCCAAAUACGCAUUUGAUUUAUUCACAGUAACAUUUUUUCAAAUACACAUUUUUUUCAUUUUCUAUUUUCUUUUCCUCAAAAGUUUUUUUUAAUAAUAAUAAUUAUUAGACCACCCUCUUAAUUAUAUCUUUUUAUAUUCUUUGUUUAAAAUUAAUUUUUCUUUCAUUUUAUGAUAUUUUUCCUCGGUGAAAAUUGGUGAACUAUCUAUUGUGAUCUCAAUUAUAAAUCAAACAUUAAUACAUUGAUAAUAUAGUAUAAAUUAUAAAUAUAUAUCACAUAUACCAUGGUUUAUUGUUAGUUUAAUAACAUUUUUCAUUUUUUUCGUUAGCCAGUUUACUAAGACUUGUAUGGAUUGACUUAAGAAAAAACUAUGUUUUUAAAACUCAUUUUUAUUUAAUUUUUUUAAAUAAAAGUAGUUUAAAAUACAUUGUGGGUGUAUCUUAAGAAGACAACCAUAACCCUGACUAAUUGUAGCUCUAUUUGACUUUCGCUUUUGCAUAACCCUUUUGUUUAUGUCUAUUUUAAAACUUUUUGAACCCUUUUUAACGUUGCUUAACUGAAACUUUCACAAAACUCAUUCAAAUUCCCGACUUACUAUAUUUUGUGAAUGGUUUGUAACAUUUUUUAUUAGACCAUUGAUAUUAAUACUAUUUUAAUAAAAAUUAUUGUUAUUGAAUAUUAAAAUUUCUCAUUUUUACAUUGUUGUCAUGAAAAUCAAUAGAGUCAAUAAAUUAAAUUAGAGAUACAAAAUAUGAAGAAAAAACAAUAAAAAAAUUAAAUACAUGAUAAAUUUAAGACGUACAAUUUUAAAAAAACAAAUGAGUUAAACUCACAAAAUCAAAACUAAUACCUAACACUAACAUAUGUAAUCUCCAUGCAUUAGAACUCUAUCAAAUAAGUCAAUAGACAUUCAAUUUCCAGGCAUUUUAUUCAAAACCUACGUGUCAAACGCUCGUUAGAAUAUAAACGCAUGGUUUUUCGCGAGAUGGUUUUCAACUUUUUGGUCAUAUAGGUUUAAGUUAACUGUAAGUUUGAAUUUGGAAGAGAUAAGUUUCAGUUUUUUAGCUUGUUUAAUGAUUAUAAGAAAAUUUAGUAUAUGCUUUAAAAAGAAGUGGAUCUAUGAAUAUUUUUUUGUGGUUUUUGUUUAGUACGCAAUUAAACUCGUCCCAUUUUUAUGGGUAGUAGCUAGCCAAAGUAGCUAAAUCCAUUAUUCCAAUUUUGGGGAUGAAAAGUGAAAAUUAUAGACUAUGAAAAGUGAAAAUUAUAGACUAACAUACCAUUGUUUGAUCACAGUAAGUUUCUUCUAAUUUCAAUCCACUAACCCUAACCCCAAUAAUGGUUAGGUUAGGAUUGAAAUCCGAACGAAUCAAGAAUCGAUGUCAUUGGUGUAGAGAUAUAUGAAUAUGAAAUGAAUUAAGAUUGAAAUCAUAAUGAGAACUAACAUCUAUCAAUGUAAAGAUAUAUAAAUAUGAAAUAGGAACCGAUACAAAAUUGUUUGUGUAUUGUCCAAUCUGACAUCCCUCGAUACAAAAUUGUUUAUUAAUUUAUGUACAUGGAAGUUUGGAACCCAGAUGACAACUACCUCAAAUUCAUGUUAAUCUUAAUAUCAACUUUUAAAUCAUAAUCAAUUUUAAAAUACAUGAACCAAAUUAUUUUUAAAAUUAUAGGAACCGAAUCGAUAUUGAAUGAAUGUAGUAAAUUUUAACGUUGAAUAAAAUAUAAUAAUUACAUUUUUAAAAGUAGUAAAAUAUUAAAACUAUUUAAUAUACUAAAAUUGAUCCAUAAUAUUUAAUACAGUAAAAUUGAUCCAAUUUUUUAAAAAGUAAUUUUCUUUGCUAUAUAUAAAAAUUCCCCAUAAAUGAACCUAAUUAAGAAAAGGUAAAAAUGAUAAAUACAUAAAUAUUUAAUUAUUUCUAUAGGAAAACAUAAUUAUUCAAAAUUAAUAGUUAAUUCAUUAAUUAUUUCUUCCUCAAACCCUACGCACAAAAACUCCUUCCCGUUAGUUUUGCGUCUUUAGCCCCUUGGCCUACGCUCCAAGCACCUGUUGCCGCCAGCAACGCAUCGCGCCACCGACUGGCUCUGCCUCUGUUCGAUCCUGGGCCAUCCAAGCGUAUCCGGAAAGUUGCCCGAAACUUCACUCUCCAUCUCUCUCUACGAUCCGUUCCAUCACAGCCGCGCGUCGCCAAUCUCCAUCCAGCCAUCGCCACCACUACCAUUCGCCGGAUUCCGCGUUCGCCUGCCGUCGUCCACGUUCGUUGCCUCUAUCGCCGGGUUCUUUGGUUUUGGUAGGUUAGUUCCUUUUGAAAUGGAGUUUUUGAGUUUUCUUGAGGUUUUUGGAAUACCUAUUUAGUUUUGACAUGAAAUUUAUACCACCCACAGUGUCUUAGUCUGUUUUCCAGCAGACUCAGAAGUUGUUUCAAAGGAAUUUUAGUAAGUGUUAAGGUUUUGAAACCCUUUUUGGUUGAUUAUUAUUGCUGGAAAUUUGUUCUAUAAUCCUUAAUUAAGACUUAUGCAUAGGUUGGAGUCUUUUUGUGUAGUAAUAAAUUGGAUUUGGAUUAAGCUCCGAUUUUAGGUAUGUCAUUUCGAGACUCUUUGGAAUGAAGUUGUGUUUGGACUUAGACCCUAAGUGGUUAAAUUUUAAAUCUAGUCCAUGCUCUAGCCUAAAACAGAGUUUGUUUUGCUUGAAUUGAAUGUUCGGGCUUACCCUCAAGAUAAGUAGUACUGGAAACACCUUGCGCCAGACAAGUUAAGUUUAAAAUGUUAAUUUUGGCUUUGGCAAACAUUUUUUAGAAAAUUCCAUGUUAUGCUUUCUUCAUGAUUGAAGAGAUUUUAUAAGCAUGUUAUAGAUUUAUAUGAGCUAUUAUGACACGAUCUUACGAUAUAGGACACAUUUAUUGUAUGUUUCAUGCUAGUUCAGUUUAUUGACAAUUGCCCUCCUACCCGUAGCUAUGUACACCUCAGAUUCAGUUUGUGUGCGCCUUUGGGUCGACCAGUUAUGUGUGCCUUUGGGUCCAGUAGAUUUAGAUUAUGUUCCGUUGGAUUCACUAGUUUGUGUUUCUACAGGUUCAUCAAUUACCACGUACAUCUCACCUACAAUAUGACAAUUUAAAUUGUUCACUUAGAUAACAGUCCAGCUCAACUUUAAUACCUCAGAUUAGGUCCCACCAUUCAGAAAAUACAGUUCAUGUUUGUGCUUGCAUACCAUGACCCCGAUAGUGAAAUAGUGAAGUUACUUAUUGAGUAUUUUAAAUACUCAACCUUUUCUCUCAAAUGGGACUGGCAGAGCUGCAGAGUGAGUGCACGUCCUAGAGGUGUUAGAGACAUGAUCGAGUAUUACCUUCUCAACCCAUUUGUGGAAGAGAAAGCCAGGUUUCUUUGGAAUGCCCGUACAUGUGCGAUAUUAUGGAGCUUGUGGAGGGAACAAAAUAAUAGAAUUUUUAGGGGUACUGAGAGGGAUUCUAGAGAUCUUUGGUUCCUCGUUCAUCAUUAUGUCUCACUUUGGGCUUCAACUUGGAAGCUUUUUGCUAACUACUCUUUGGGAUUUAUUUUUAUUAGUUGGGAUCCUUUUUUGUUAUGGGGUUUUUUCCAGGGUUGGUAUAGGCCGACCCUGUUCUUGUACUUUUUCAUUGUUCUCAAUGAAGCGUUUCUCUCUUUAAAAAAAUACUCACCUUUUCUUAAAAUGUUCAUCCUGUAAAGACAAGAACAUACUAGAUGCUUGACGAGGAGGUUUGUCGAAGGUGCCAUAUGGGACUAGAGAGUUGCUUUCGCUCAGUGUCAUUUCAUGAAAAAGUUUUAAAUUUAAAUGUUUUAAUUAAAUUAAAUUAUUUAUUUUAAUCAACGUUUUACGGAUCCCAAAACUUUUAUUUGCAAAUUAUGUUAUUUUGCGAUGGUUUACUUAUUUAUAAAAGUUUUUACUUUUUAGUUAAAUAGUCAACUAGUUUUGGUUUAAAAUCUCUUGCAUGGUUGUGAUGACCCAAUAAUAGUUCCUAGAAAGUUGGAUCAUUACCAAUAGUGGGGUUACUUACUGGGUGUUCUUAAUAUUCAUUAUUUUCCUAAAAUUACUGCUCUCAGGUCAUGGCAAGGUGGACCUAAGCAAUCAACAUGGUUUUGUUGAAGUGCGGCCGUGACUGACUUAGAGUAGUUUAACUAUUUUCGAAGCCUGAAAAGGUUGGAUUGUGGUUAUGUAAAUGGUUUUUGUCACUGAUGUUGAGGCAACCCCAGAUGUGCCCUAGGCGAGGCGUCUGGGGUCUUUCGGCCUUCCUGUAAGUCAAGGUGAGUGCCUUCAAUCAGGUGCUCAUCUUACUGGGUCUUGUGCACUUACUGGCUCCCGAUAAAUGCACAUUUGUUUUAUUUUAUAAAUUUAAUAAUAAUAACAAUAAUAGAAAGAAAAAUACUCAGAGGUACACAAAAUCUGAUCCCUAAAUACCCACAAAAGGGUCAAUGAAAUGCCAUGCAACAAACGUCAAUUUGAUUUUCAAACUCUUCUUAGACAGUCUGUGAUUUUGCAUGCUUUUCAAUCGAACUCUUCAUCUUCCUCGUUUGACUUCACGUUCAAAAACUUUUGUUCCCAACUUCUUCUUCAAUUCACGUUCUUCCUAUGUGCAAUUCACGUUCUUCCUAUGUGCUUCUACUAACAUGAUUUGGAGCUUCAGAAUUUUUUCUUCAGUAGCUUUUGUCUUCGUUUGACUGCAUAUUCAUUAUUUGAUUGAUUUGUCUCUUUCUUCUUCAUCUUCCUUCUUUUUUGACUUCUUGCCGAGUAGUUGGUUCAGAAGUGGGGUCUAAUGAAAUCUUUAACUUUUAAAUCAUUUUUCCUUUCUUUAAUCGAGUCUUCAAUUUAAAUAAUUAAAACAUAAAAUAAUAAUUAUAUUAUUAUUUAAUCUAUUGUAUUAUAAAUCUGAAACUUGUAUUAUUUUCAUUCAUACUUAAUUAUAUUAUUAUAUAAUCUUUAUUGGACGAAGAAGAGAAGAAUAGCAAAGUAGGAAUACUAGAUGAGGCCUUAAGUUGAGAUAUAGAUGAUGGCAAUAAUUAUUUAAUCUUAAUUGAACAUUAUGUUUUACGUUUGUUUAUUUUUUUGGUUCAUUGUUGUUACUUUGUGACUUAAUGGUGUUUUGUAAGUACUAGGAGUCUAGGACUGGACUAUUAUUGAAUUUUUUUUGACAUGUUUAAGUUUUUUCUAUUUGGUAUUGAUAGGGCUUUGGUAUUUGGAUAUUCCAAAUAUAGGCUCUCUAUAUAUAUAACUUAUUUUUUUAUUUAUCCAUUGCGUUUUGCUUCACUCAGACCUUGCCUUUUCGUCACCUUAGGCAUUGAUGCGAUUACAGUGCUUAUCGCCUUGAGGUGCGCCUUGUGCUUUGAAAACAUUGAUUUUUGUGUUGGGUUAUUUGUCUAUUCUAUAGAAUCUGUCUUAUUUCCAGGUUUUCCUUUGCUUUGCUUUUGUAAAGCAAAAUUUUAUUUCUUUCAAAUCUAAUAGCCUUAUAUGGUUUUUGGUUCGUUCUUUGGAAAUUGAGCUAUUCUAGUUCUUGUCUAAUGUUGGGUUGUUUCAGGUAUGUUUUGCUCACACAGCCAUGUCUCUCCGCAACCAUGUUGAUGAAAUUGACGUUGAGCAUCCUGCUGACAAGGAAGAUGGUGUGGUUGAUGAGGACAUGGAAGUUCUUCAGAGAGCCUAUAGGCUUGCUGGUGUUAAUCCUGAGGAUUAUAUUAAUCCCAGGUUGUCAUCACCUGCUGCCGGAGAUGCUGAUCCUGGUUCUGAUUCUGAUGAUGUUGAUGAUUUCGAACUUCUUCGAGAUAUUCAGAAUCGGUUCUCGAUUUUGGCUGAUGAGCAGCCGCAGAGUACACCAGUGUCUGCAGACGAGGAGGAAGAUGAAUUUGAGAUGCUUCGUUCAAUACAGCGGCGCUUUGCAGCGUAUGAAAGUGGUAAGUUAUUCGUAAUUGUAAAUAUUGAUCUAUAACUGUCUUGUUUUAUUGGCUUAUAUGACUUGUUCUUGAAGUUCCUUGCUUGUGAUAUUAAUCACUCAUUCCGAGCUGCCCACUUUAUAUGGCAUUUUCCAGUGGCUUUGGGUUACUCGGGAAGAAUUGUACGUUCCUUCCCCAAUCUAGGUUUAGUUCAUGUUUCUUCACUGCAAGUCUUCUGACUUGUUGAUUGAUGUUUCAUAUUACUUUCUUGUGAUCUGAUUACAGAUAUUUUCUCUAAUAUUCUUUUACAAUUCUUGUUUUAUCUCUAUUUCUUGCAAGUUUUCUUUUGGUAAAAGUAAAAUUUCAUUGACAAAUGAAAUCAAGGUAGAACCCCAAACACCAAAAGAUCUUGUAUUUUUCGUUUUUUAGUUUACUAGAGGUUACUAUUAUUUACUCUUUUGAUUGAAUGGGUGAAAUUAGUUCAAAAUUACUUCGGUUAGUCAUACGUCUUGCGCGAAUUGUGGCAUUUACGUGGUAGCUUCCUAAGCACCUUCACUCCUAAGAUGGCCAAGUGCUAGUGUCAGACACGUUUCGGAUACCAACAUGCCCCAGACACAUCUCCGACAUGCUAACUGGCAUGUCAAUUGUUUUAUUAUUAUUUUCUUAAUUUCCGACACGGCCUUGACAUGCCAAUGACAUAGGUGACACACAACUGAAAAAAGAUAAUUAAAGCUGAUUAGAAAAAGCCCAAAUAAGCACGACCCACCAUAUUAGGCCCUUUUUUCUUAAUUCUAUUUUUUGUUUUGAACCCUUCAACAUUUUGCUCCAUUUCUCCACCUUUUUCAUGCUCUCCUUUUUCUUGCGGCCCAAACUCUGCCGCCCUAUUCUGCUUUCUGGUUGUUGGCCCACCCUCUUGCCACUGGCGAGAACAUCCAUCGGCAGUGACUCCCUUGAGCUCCCCAAAGUUGUCGUGCUCCUUGCUGGUUUUUUACUCUCCUUCAUUUUUAUUUUAUAUUAAUUUUUAUUUUUCAUGCUGUGUUGAGUCCAAAACUCAUUUUUUUCGACAAAAUAUUUUUUGGCUGACCACUGGUUUUUUCUACCCUUUUAUUUAUUUUUUUUAGUCCACAACUCAUUUUUUCUUUCAACAAAAUAUUUGUGAGCCUCACCUCCUAGGCGAGGCACUAGGCCUACCUCUUGAGUCUAGGUGCACGCUCGAGAGGGUUUUUAAAAUACUGAUAACAACAUACAAACAAAAAGAGACAUUAAGGGUGUGCUUGACCCAAGAAGUUGAGAAGUAGGAGUUGUUCACCCCAGUCCUUGUUUGGCCCAAAGAGUUUGUGGGCCCACCACAAAAAAAUAUCAAUUUUAUACCUUAUCAACUCCUUACAUUGUGGACCUUAGAGUUCACAACUCUCCAGAGUCACAACUCCUUAGAACUGACUAUUCUAUCCCUUGCCCCAAACAUUCCCUAAGUUCUAGUUACAUUUCUUCCCAAAAUCCUAGGGGGUGUUUGGGGUAUUGAGUUGAGUUAUGAAAUUUGGAAUUCAUAUGUUGAAGAUAGGAAGUUUAUGUUGGAGUGAAGAGUUGUAAAAUGAAGUUUCUUGAUAAACGUGAAAAAUAGAGAAAGAGAGGAAGAUGGAGUUCCUCAAUAAAUGUGCUAACUUUCAAUAGUAUUUAUUUUUAAUAUUUGGUUGUUUAACAUUGUCUUAUGAAAGUCUUAUUUUUUUUUGGGAUAAGAAUUAAUAUUGGCAUGUUUAAUAUUACCUUAUGAACAUAAGUUAGUGGACCAAACACCUCCUUGCUUUGCCUUUCAAUUUCCAAGCGUUUAGACCUUCAAAGUGCCAAUCUUCUCUCGUCCAAGGAAGACAAGUCACAGUCCCCAACUUCUAAAAGAAAAAUUACAAUCUAUAGCUACAGGUGGUCAAUGUCUUCCACCACUCCCAAACACAAUCUAUAGCUAGAUGGAGUGAAGGCUCAAGAUCUAAAACUUUCUUUGGAGCUUAUCAUUUGUCAUAAAGGCUUCUCAAAGCCAUUGACUAGGGAGGAUUUUUAUUUUCUUCAGGCAUUUGUUUCUCCAAACCAACUUAAUUUGGUGGAUUUAAGCCUUGCUAGGGAUGUUGGAAAGACUUGAGAAAAUCAAACUUGUUGAAUAAUUUCCAUAUCCAUGGAGGGAUCACAAAUCACAUAUAGAUCUGGAAAGCAAGAUUGUGUGGAGGCUCAAUCAAUCCAUGUCUUCCCAAAAAUGUAUUUGAUUAGUACCCAUGCCAACUUGCACUUUAGCAAACCAAAGAAAGAAAGAAAGAUUGUUGUCAAUGUCCACCUGUGGUCUGUUUUUUUUCUCUUCUUAAUCACUCCGUAGCCAUAUGCAUGAUGGGAUUUUCGUUCUCCUUAGGAGGUCUUGUGAAAGAAACUUUAGAAUCUUCCAUGAUAAAGAAACUAACAACGAUUUUUCUAAUUGGUUGCCCUUUUUGUUUCUACUUGGUUCUAUACCUCUAAAUUUUUUCGUAAUUAUGGCCUAACCCGAAUUUAUAUUAGUUGGGCUCUUAUUUGUAAGCUGUUAUGUGGGAUACCUUAUUUCCCCCUCUUUGUGUGUCUUUUCUCUUUGACAAUGAAGGUUAUGUUACGAAAAAAAAGAAAAAAAAUCUCCAUGGUCAUGUCCGUUGGAGUUCACUCCAUAAAUACUAGAUAUAACAUUCUUCAAAAGGGGUUUCUGUUCUUGUGUGAGCCUCC
Molecule: long non-coding RNA, 23347 nt
Filed under: Cucumis sativus (cucumber)
Lineage: Eukaryota; Viridiplantae; Streptophyta; Magnoliopsida; Cucurbitales; Cucurbitaceae
Description: long non-coding RNA (CSAT_LNC000892)
Source: RNAcentral